This 30-nucleotide non-coding RNA is filed under the name Mus musculus (house mouse). The record is from RNAcentral. Lineage: Eukaryota; Metazoa; Chordata; Mammalia; Rodentia; Muridae.
UACCCUGAUUCUGCCCUCCGCCUGUCAAAA